This 484-nucleotide ribosomal RNA is filed under the name uncultured bacterium. RNAcentral describes it as "partial 16S ribosomal RNA". It matches the Rfam family "Bacterial small subunit ribosomal RNA", at positions 30 to 507 of the family's 1533-position model. The record is from RNAcentral.
AUUGAACGCUGGCGGCAGGCCUAACACAUGCAAGUCGAGCGGAUGAAGGGAGCUUGCUCCUGGAUUCAGCGGCGGACGGGUGAGUAAUGCCUAGGAAUCUGCCUGGUAGUGGGGGAUAACGUCCGGAAACGGGCGCUAAUACCGCAUACGUCCUGAGUGAGAAAGGGGGGGAUCUUCGGACCUCACGCUAUCAGAUGAGCCUAGGUCGGAUUAGCUAGUUGGUGGGGUAAAGGCCUACCAAGGCGACGAUCCGUAACUGGUCUGAGAGGAUGAUCAGUCACACUGGAACUGAGACACGGUCCAGACUCCUACGGGAGGCAGCAGUGGGGAAUAUUGCACAAUGGGCGAAAGCCUGAUCCAGCCAUGCCGCGUGUGUGAAGAAGGUCUUCGGAUUGUAAAGCACUUUAAGUUGGGAGGAAGGGCAGUAAGUUAAUACCUUGCUGUUUUGACGUUACCAAAAGAAUAAGCACCGGCUAACUUCGUG